CAGUAGCCACGGUAAUACGGAGGGUGCAAGCGUUAAUCGGAAUUACUGGGCGUAAAGCGCACGCAGGCGGUCUGUCAAGUCAGAUGUGAAAUCCCCGGGCUUAACCUGGGAACUGCAUUUGAAACUGGCAGGCUAGAGUCUUGUAGAGGGGGGUAGAAUUCCAGGUGUAGCGGUGAAAUGCGUAGAGAUCUGGAGGAAUACCGGUGGCGAAGGCGGCCCCCUGGACAAAGACUGACGCUCAGGUGCGAAAGCGUGGGGAGCAAACAGGAUUAGAGACCCCUGUAGUCCCUGUCUCUUAUAC
Molecule: ribosomal RNA, 301 nt
Filed under: uncultured bacterium
Lineage: Bacteria
Description: partial 16S ribosomal RNA
Rfam family: Bacterial small subunit ribosomal RNA
Source: RNAcentral